This 497-nucleotide ribosomal RNA is filed under the name uncultured bacterium. RNAcentral describes it as "partial 16S ribosomal RNA". It matches the Rfam family "Bacterial small subunit ribosomal RNA", at positions 28 to 507 of the family's 1533-position model. The record is from RNAcentral.
GAGGAACGCUGGCGGCGUGCCUAAUACAUGCAAGUCGAGCGAACAGACGAGGAGCUUGCUCCUCUGACGUUAGCGGCGGACGGGUGAGUAACACGUGGAUAACCUACCUAUAAGACUGGGAUAACUUCGGGAAACCGGAGCUAAUACCGGAUAACAUGUUGAACCGCAUGGUUCAACAGUGAAAGACGGUCUUGCUGUCACUUAUAGAUGGAUCCGCGCCGCAUUAGCUAGUUGGUAAGGUAACGGCUUACCAAGGCAACGAUGCGUAGCCGACCUGAGAGGGUGAUCGGCCACACUGGAACUGAGACACGGUCCAGACUCCUACGGGAGGCAGCAGUAGGGAAUCUUCCGCAAUGGGCGAAAGCCUGACGGAGCAACGCCGCGUGAGUGAUGAAGGUCUUCGGAUCGUAAAACUCUGUUAUUAGGGAAGAACAAAUGUGUAAGUAACUAUGCACGUCUUGACGGUACCUAAUCAGAAAGCCACGGCUAACUACGUG